AGUUACAGUAGCAGUUAAAAUCGUUGUAGGAACAGCAACUACAAAUACUUGAUUGACUAACACUAGUACAACUAAGAUAUUUAUAGUACUUACCAUGCACCGGAGAGUUCACACACAUUAUUCUUUGCCUUUUGACCAUUUUCCUCCUUUGAGAUAAUUGUCUCCUCAUCUGUCUCUCCUCUCUCUCCUUUAGGCAUUUCAUCUGUGAAACUAUUUAUAUCCCUUAAGGGAUGCCCCUCCAUAUCUUUAUAUCUACUUCUCCUUCAUCCCAGCUCCAAUAUUGUGUCUUACCAUCAUUAUGUUUUGUAAAAGGAAAAAAGAAGCCAUUCCCUACUUUAAACUUCUCUGCUUUGUAUCUAGGACUGACAUUCAGACGUGGAGCAAGUUGGACUGCAUAGGGACCCACCAGUGAGAUGGACGCUGUCUGUAAACGACUUUCACUGAAUGUGCUAAGAAGAGAAACCCCUCUGCAGACACACACAGACGUUCUGCAGUUUCCCAAUCUCUGGUGCAGUUCUGGCCUUUUGGGGCUUUAAGGGCUUUGGCUAAGGUUCUCCAGGGAGGCUGCUCUGCCAAGUCUGGUAUUUCAUGAAUAGAUCUGAAAACAGACAUUAUCUCUUCUCCCAGUGAAGAGAGAGCGAUGAAGCCUCAGGACAAAAGGAGGCAGUGGGAUGAUGCCACCAAGGGACCAUUCUGAAGAGCCAUCAGCAAAAAGCAGCCACACCUGCUUAUGUGGCUCUGGGACAAAUGAUCUGAGCCGUGACGUGGAACUUAGAUGCAGUAAAGUCCAUUGUAUUGAGCCUUCUCUGGCACUCCUCCCAAAACAGAGAGACAACAGUUCUGUUAUGUUUUGUUUGGUUUGGUCUCCCUCAACUCAUCAAUGAGCCUUUUUAAAAAGAAUAAUUCGGUACUUUCUUUAAA
RNAcentral lists this long non-coding RNA (921 nucleotides) under Homo sapiens (human). RNAcentral describes it as "long intergenic non-protein coding RNA 1579". The record is from RNAcentral. Lineage: Eukaryota; Metazoa; Chordata; Mammalia; Primates; Hominidae.